This is a long non-coding RNA of Salmo trutta (river trout), 1281 nucleotides long. The record is from Ensembl. Lineage: Eukaryota; Metazoa; Chordata; Actinopteri; Salmoniformes; Salmonidae.
AUGCGCCACCUUGUGGACUGGCGGCGCCCCCUUGUGGACUGGCUGCGCCCCCUUGUGGACUGGCUGCGCCCCCUUGUGGACUGGCUGCGCCCCCUUGUGGACUGGCUGCGCCCCCUUGUGGACUGGCUGCGGCACCUUGUGGACUGGCUGCGCCCCCUUGUGGACUGGCGGCGCCCCCUUGUAGACUGGCUGCGCCCCCUUGUGGACUGGCUGCGCCCCCUUGUGGACUGGCUGCGCCCCCUUGUGGACUGGCUGCGCCCCCUUGUGGACUGGCUGCGCCCCCUUGUGGACUGGCUGCGCCCCCUUGUGGACUGGCUGCGCCCCCUUGUGGACUGGCUGCGGCACCUUGUGGACUGGCUGCGCCCCCUUGUGGACUGGCUGCGCCCCCUUGUGGACUGGCUGCGCCCCCUUGUGGACUGGCUGCGCCACCUUGUGGACUGGCUGCGCCCCCUUGUGGACUGGCUGCGCCCCCUUGUGGACUGGCUGCGGCACCUUGUGGACUGGCUGCGCCACCUUGUGGACUGGCUGCGCCCCCUUGUGGACUGGCUGCGCCCCCUUGUGGACUGGCUGCGCCCCCUUGUGGACUGGCUGCGCCCCCUUGUGGACUGGCUGCGCCCCCUUGUGGACUGGCUGCGCCCCCUUGUGGACUGGCUGCGGCACCUUGUGGACUGGCUGCGCCCCCUUGUGGACUGGCUGCGCCCCCUUGUGGACUGGCUGCGCCCCCUUGUGGACUGGCUGCGCCACCUUGUGGACUGGCUGCGCCCCCUUGUGGACUGGCUGCGCCACCUUGUGGACUGGCUGCGGCACCUUGUGGACUGGCUGCGCCACCUUGUGGACUGGCUGCGCCCCCUUGUGGACUGGCUGCGCCACCUUGUGGACUGGCUGCGGCACCUUGUGGACUGGCUGCGCCACCUUGUGGACUGGCUGCGCCCCCUUGUGGACUGGCUGCGCCCCCUUGUGGACUGGCUGCAGCACCUUGUGGCUGCAGCACUAUGUAAUAAUAAUAUAUAUGUAUUUAUUUUAUUAAAUCAAAUUAAAGCCAGGCACCACACCCCAAUACGGAAAUGCAGGAAAUGGCAGUUACAGGUGUUAAAAAAUCCUAAGGGGGUCACUUCGGCCUCUCCCUUCCACCGUACUCAGCAGCACCACCUUCUUAACAAUUUUUUUUUUGAAUCUGCGUGUUGCCAGCUAUGUCCACCUGACACCACUAAUCAGUGUGUGUGUGUGUGUGUGUGUGUGUGUGUGUGUGUGUGUGUGUGUGUGUGUGGAUGGCGAGAAUGA